RNAcentral lists this non-coding RNA (31 nucleotides) under Rattus norvegicus (Norway rat). The record is from RNAcentral. Lineage: Eukaryota; Metazoa; Chordata; Mammalia; Rodentia; Muridae.
UCAAAUUUAUGGUGUCCCCACUGUCUCAUGU